GACGAACGCUGGCGGCGUGCUUAACACAUGCAAGUCGAACGGAAAGGCCCUGCUUUUGUGGGGUGCUCGAGUGGCGAACGGGUGAGUAACAUGUGAGUAACCUGCCUUUGACCUUGGGAUAACUUCAGGAAACUGGGGUUAAUACCUGAUAGGAGCUCCUGCUGCAUGGUGGGGGUUUGAAAGUUUCGGUGGUUGGGGAUGGACCCGCGGCUUGCCAGCUUGUUGGGGGGGUAAUGGUUUACCAAGGCUUUGACGGGUAGCCAGCCUGAGAGGUUGAACGGCCACAUUGUGACUGAGAGACGGCACAGAAGCCAACGGGAGCCAGCAGUGGGGAAUAUUACACAAUGGGCGGAAGCCAGAUGCAGCAACGCCGCGUGCGGGAUGACGGCCUUCGGGUUGUAAACCGCUGUCGCCUGUGACGAAGCGUGAGUGACGGUAGUGGGUAAAGAAGCACCGGCUAACUACGUG
RNAcentral lists this ribosomal RNA (468 nucleotides) under uncultured bacterium. RNAcentral describes it as "partial 16S ribosomal RNA". It matches the Rfam family "Bacterial small subunit ribosomal RNA", at positions 28 to 507 of the family's 1533-position model. The record is from RNAcentral.